UACGAAGGGGGCUAGCGUUGUUCGGAAUUACUGGGCGUAAAGCGCGUGUAGGCGGCCCUGCAAGUCGGAUGUGAAAUCCCACGGCUCAACCGUGGAAGUGCAUUCGAAACUGCAGGGCUAGAGUCCUGGAGAGGAAGGUGGAAUGCUUGGUGUAGAGGUGAAAUUCGUAGAUAUCAAGCGGAACACCGGUGGCGAAGGCGGCCUUCUGGACAGUGACUGACGCUGAGACGCGAAAGCGUGGGGAGCAAACAGGG
Molecule: ribosomal RNA, 254 nt
Filed under: uncultured bacterium
Lineage: Bacteria
Description: partial 16S ribosomal RNA
Rfam family: Bacterial small subunit ribosomal RNA
Source: RNAcentral